AAUGUCUCAGUAUAUUAAUGUUGCAACUUGUUUAUUUUGUUUUUAGGAGUAUGAAUUAGAUGGAAUUGAUUGGACAAAAGUAGAUUUUGAAGACAACCAAGAGUGUUUGGAUCUCUUUGAGAAGUGCACAUCAUCCAAUAGUGAUUUCCCUAUAAGCCAUGCUAGUCAACUUUCAAAUCCGUUCCUUAGUUUGCCGCUUGAAUUUGGAAAAUGUGAAUCAUGUGGUGCUGCGGAACCCGGGACAUGCGAAGGUCACUUUGGGUAUAUAGAAUUACCAAUUCCAGUAAAUCAUCCUUCCCAUGUGAGCGAACUAAAGCGGUUGUUGAGCCUGGUUUGCUUUAAGUGCUUGAAGUUGAGAAGUGGGAAGGUAAUGGAUAUGUUUAUAGAAGGCUCCACGUAAAAUCUAUUUGUCAUAAGUAAUUAAAUCCUUUUGCUUUCUUGAUUGAGAGGGUAGCAGAUUAUUGUGUUGUGUUAUGGAAAGUAUAAGUUUCUGCCACUGCAUCCUCAGAAGUCAUGCUCUGCCACUAAUAUUAACUUCAAUACUGUUUACUCCUCUUAGGACUGCCAACAUUGCUUUAUACUUGUCUUUAUAAGUUUCUAUUACUUUUUUGGGGUUUAUUAGUUUGCAUGCUUCUAUUACACUUCGUGCCAUAUCCACUGGAGCUUGUUGCACAGAAUCCUGCUUUCUUUGUGUCUUUUCAUUGCUCCUUGAUAUUUGAUUUCCUCUCUUAUGUGGUGAAACAUAAUGUCACUAAGAUAUAUGCCUAUGCUAGUUGCUCAUACUAUUGUUUUGUGCUUGGACCAGUUUAUGCAGAUGGAAGUAUUUGUCUGGAUAUUCUACAAAAUCAGUGGAGUCCAAUAUAUGAUAUAGCUGCUAUACUGACAUCUAUCCAGGUAUGAUGGAGUGUAUAUAUGGUUCAAAAAUAUCUAUUGCUAGGAAUGGUCAGAUGAUAUUGCUCGUAGUAAAAAAUCACCCUUUGAUUUUGAUUUAAAGAUACUAGUUUCGAAUGAUUAGUGAAAUGGUAAACUGAAGCUGUUACAGUUAAUUUGCUUGAAAAAGAGUUAUUC
This is a non-coding RNA of Camellia sinensis, 1068 nucleotides long. The record is from RefSeq and is a predicted model, not a curated record. NCBI's taxonomy places the organism in Eukaryota, Viridiplantae, Streptophyta, Magnoliopsida, Ericales, Theaceae.